Carassius gibelio (silver crucian carp) is the source of this 12735-nucleotide RNA transcript. It is a transcript of the gene named carbonic anhydrase XIV, with no coding region annotated. The transcript has 6 exons. NCBI's taxonomy places the organism in Eukaryota, Metazoa, Chordata, Actinopteri, Cypriniformes, Cyprinidae. The record is from RefSeq and is a predicted model, not a curated record.
UUGAAAAGAAGUGACAUCCUUUCGACACGUGCUUAGCUUUCCGUGCUUCAAUUCAGUUUGCUAUGUAUAGGAUUUCAGAAAAACAAUUCUGUGUCCGUUAAAUCGACGUUUUACCACCGCGGUAUCCGUUUGUCAUCUAUGAACACGACAUCGCGGGAUGUAAGCAUUCCCGGUUAGGAAUGCACGGUUCUAUCUCAGCACCAUUUUCCUGGUUGCUAACUGCUCUCAGUGAAACGACAUAUGAUGGUGAAAUUUCUCCCCCCGGUUCAAAUAUUGAGCAGCAAGCCUUUGACGGUAUUAAUACACUGGGCGUGAUUGAUCCAGACAGCGCAGCCGAUGAUUUCAUACAAUUUAUCACCCAACCCAGCUUCCAGACAGUUAUCGAUCUCACGCAAGAUGGUGAUGAAGAUCCCACCGUCAACGUAACAGACAAACCUCACAUCCUACCUGGUUCCAAUCCGGCGCACGUCGAGAAUCCAGUAGGAUCCGGCAGCGAACCACUUCCUGGACCCAGGAUGAACAAGCUAAAAAGGAGCCUAGAAAAACUAAUCGUCCCACCUCGCCGGUCAGUCCUGGAACAGACGGUGAACCACCAAGAAAGACUUAUCGUUUUACAGCGGUGGUCCGACCUGAACCGAAUGGCGAACUACCAAGAAAGGCUUAACGUUUUACCCCGGCGAUCAGUCCUGAGAGCUCUCCAGAGAGGAAAACUCUUUGUCUGACACCACCGAACAGCCCGGGGACCAGUCCUGAGACUGCGCUGUUUUAUGACUCGAGUAGAAGCCUCUUGGACGAGCGAGCGUGACGAGGUGUCAACCACCAACCUGGGUCAAACACCAUAUCCUUCUCGCUCACCGUCUUCGGAAGGAGUAGAAGUGGAAGAAGUGCCGGCGCCUCAGCCGGUUGAUGAACCAUUCGGUGAUCUGCCUCCGACACGCAGGUUGACAUAAACAACAAAUAUGUCGAACUCCAUGACUUACAAGAUGAUAUUAACAACAAAUUGAUUGCAUUGCGCAGCGAGUCUCGUGACAGACAAAUCGAAACCUAUAGCAGAUUAGACGCGUUGCACAGCGAGCUACAUGCCUCGAGACGUGCAGUCGAUUCGAUGCACAGGAUCACUUUAUUCAGGAUCUGGCCAAUUAAAUAUUUCGUCGCGUCAAUGCUAUGAGAUCAGUGAUUGAUCAGCAGUUUGAUAGGAAUGAUCGUAUGGUGAGUCAAUACCAACGGGAAUUGGUGCUCAUUUUGCAUCACCUUAUUCUCACCAUCAUAGAUGAGACCACAGAGUCAAAUCGAAUAUAGAUAUAGUAUUCCGAGUAAUUCUUAUAUCGCACGUCUGCUAUGAUUUUUUUAUAUUUCAUGUAUGCUUUUUAUACUUUGUUUACAUAUAAUCCGAUAUUUCAUUUAUACUCUGAUUUUGUAAUAGUUCAUUUAUGAUUUUUUAUACUAUAUGAAAUUUGUAAUAGUUCAUGUAUGUUUUAACUCUAUGAUUUUGUAAUAGUACGUGUUUUGGUCUGAAACCAAAAAAAUGGACGGGUCAGAUGAUUUAUGUCAAUCAGACCAAUCCUCCACAGAACUGACGACAGACGAGAUCGAAAUGCUAAGUGUACUGCCGGACUUUUUAGAACAGUAUUUGUUUAAUCUAGAAUCCCCUGCUAUUUUUUUGCUAUGUAAAUCCAAAUAUGAAUUUGUUUGAUCCUCUGCUAAGCCUAGACAACGAUCCCAUUGUACAACACGGCUGCGUUUUAAACAGACCACUGGCAGCGUGUACCGAGGCUGAUCCUGACAACAUAGAGCACCCCGUCAGUAAUGAUACUUCGCAACCGUCCGCAUCAGGUAAUGUCGACCCUACUACACAGACUCGAUUAAGCUGUACAGACGUUGAUAGGUUGAUUCACGAGGGUGGGGACGUUAACGGAUAUCAUGUUUUACCACGACCUCAUUUCAAUAGCGUGCCAUUGAGAAGGACUACGAAUCUGAGAGAGAUUAACUCUACAGAUUUGGGCUCUUACCACAUCCACUUACAUGACAUGCUUACUGGAAAUGUGAAUUUCGCUAGGGAAUUUGACCAAAAUUCUCCGGUGAUCGAUAUCACAUUGACGGCUCCCAAUUUACAGACACCCGUUGGUGGGAUUUUAACCCACGGUAAUAAUUACGACAUGGAUGGGUUUAAGGAUUAAAUUUGAUAGAGUUUUACAGAGCAACGACCGGUUACUAUCUGACCGAACCGUAGAAUUUGAACCUUCCGUAGCCAUGAACAGACAAGGCGGCGGUCGUCGGAAACUCGUGGACUUGGCUGUUGAUGAGGUGAUCAAAAGGAAAAAGACGAGUUUAUUUUGCGCGACCAAUAUUUCAAAUAAUUUGUGCUUCUCCAUCUGUCUCGCCCGUUUUCUUAACCCCCAACAUCCCGAGAGUGAGUUAGAAAAACUGGAUACAGUCAUCCAAAACAGCGUCGGCUUCUCAAUCCAAGACCGAAUCGGAUUUCACAGAUAUUUCACAGAUCUAUCACCAUGAUCUUAGAAACCUACAAAAAUUCAGACGAACCCCAUCCAAAAACGGUGUUGCUGUAUCUCCACGACAACCACUACUACAUGAUAACGAGUUUGAAGGCAUUCAUCGGUUCAACAUUUGUGAGUCCAUUUUGCUACAAAUCUUACACCAACCGCAGUGCCCAUCGAUGUAAACACGCCUGCAACAUCUGUUUCGAUGCGGAAUGUUACAGGUCCCCUGUAAGAAUCAUACAUUGACCCGAUUGUUUGCGUUAUUGUAAUCGACUUAUUGUCGAUUUAAUCGACUUAUUGUUUCGAAAUGCAUUAAACAAACCCACCUCCCGGUCAGGAAAACCCCACCUGUGAUAUGAUCAAAUACUGCAAACUAUGUAAUAGACGUUACAGCGUAAAACCGGGCAAUGAGAAAACCAAACACAUAUGUGCCCCAGACAAAUGUGUGCAUUGUCGAGAGCGUCUGAUGGACGAUGGGGCACAUCAAUGCUUCAUUCAACCUCUAGAGCCUAAGGAACCGUGUGAAAAAUACGUCUUUUACGAUUUUGAAACGCGUUACGAAAACUGCCGCCACGAGGCUAAUUUUGUCUGUGCCCUGACAUUCAAAGGUCAGAAAUGUACCGCCUACGGUACGGACUGCAUCGCUAAGGUAAUCAAGCGCUUCAGACAACUCCGAUACAAAGGCUACUGCUUCAUCGCUCAUUACGCCUCCAGAUUUGACACCUUUCUAAUUCUGGAGUAUUUUUGCAAAGCAGGGAUCGUGCUUGAGGUCAUAAUGCAAGGGUGCAAACUUCUGGUGUACGACGACGCAUGUGCCCAACGAUACAUCGAUAGCUACUAAUUUUUCCCAUUCGCUCUCGCCAAAAUGCCCGCGACGUUAUACUUGACGACGACUGAAAAAGGCUAUUUCCCCCAUCUUUUCAACAGGGUGGAAAAUGAGAACUACGUCGGACCGUACCCUGACAAAAGUUCUACAACUACGAGAACAUGUCGGAUAAAGUUUGAGGCGUGGUACAGCAUGGUGAAGGGCAAGUUCUUUAACUUCAAGAAAGAACUGUAUGCCUACGGCGUUAACGACGUUGUGUUAUUGCGUGAAGGAUGCAUGAAGUACAGGACGUCAUUCCUACACUGCACCCAACUCGACCCUUUUGGGUUCACGACGAUCGCCAGCUGCGCAGUGGGGGUCUUCAAAACACAUUAUCUCACCAGAAACACGCUCGCCCUGAUGCAUAACAAAGCAUACAUUCAUCAGAAUAAGUCCUACUCAAGCGGUUCGAUCCAGUGGCUCGAGUAUAUAAAAAAGACUUGAAACGUGGAAGGUCAUCACGCCGUAAACCACGGCGAAGUAUAGAUCGGUAAGUACUUUUAGACUGCUACUACGAGCAGGACGGCGUCAGGCACGGCUUAGAAUGGGGGGGUGCGUCAUCCAUGGACACUGCUGUCGCUUUGAACCCAAUCAGACGCACCCCCUGUCCGGAGUACCCUACGGGGUUCUCAGGAACCAGUUUGACGAUAAGGUUGAAAUUCUCCGGAACACGUAUGGUUUGCAAAUCGAGGUUCUGUGGGAAUACGAAUGGAAUCGGAUGAAAAAGACCGAUCCCUCUGUGAUAGAAUUUAUGGCUGAUUAUUCCGCCCCAGAGAGAUUGAAUCCAUGUGAUGCGCAUUACGGAGGCCGAACCGAACGCCUAUAAACUAUACUACAAAGUGAGCGGCGAUGAGAAAAUAAGAUAUCUGGAUUUCACCAGUCUGUACCCUUUCUGUCAGGCCAGGAAAAGCUACCCAAUCGGACACCCCGAAAUCAUUUUCACAGAUUUCGAACCGAUUGAAAAUUAUUACGGACUUAUCACAGCCACCGUGUACCCUCCCCGCAACUUACUGCACGGCAUCCUCGCUUUCAGAUCCCGAGGAAAACUCAUGUUUCUGCUAUGUAGAACCUGCGCUCAAGACCAAAACCAGACCUCGAGCUUUACCCACACAGACCAGGAAAGAUCGCUUUCGGGCUGGUGGGUCAGUAUUGAGCUUAUAAAAGCCAUCGAGAAGGGCUAUGUGGUAGCCAAGAUAGAUGAGGUUUGGCAUUUUCCACAACGGUCAGACACGUUGUUUGCUGAAUACGUAAAAACCUUCUUGCGUUUGAAACAAGUUUCGGGCUACCCAUCGAACGUCGUCACGGAUGCAGAGAAAGAGGCUUACAUUCGUGACUAUUUUGAAAAAGAGGGCAUUCAACUUGACCCAGAAAAAAUCAAUAACAACGCUGCCCAAAGGGCCAAAUACAUCCUGGCUCAGACAGAAAACAUUGUGAGAGAUAAAAAAGACUCUCACAUUACAAAACAAAUCAGUCUUUAAAAGGUUCAAGGUCGUCUACGAUAAACAUUGGCUUUUAAGCGAUUAUACCACGCUUCCUUUGGGCUACUGAUCAGAUGACGAUGCACAGAGGGUCUCAGGAUGUGUCCGAUUUUGAUUUCAGACUUCAACACCCUUUCAGCUGUGUUGUAUCUGGACCGUCCAAUUCCGGAAAGUCUUAUUUUGCAAAACUUUUGUUGGAAAAAGGUUUGAAUAUCAUUUCAAAGAAAAUUGAAAAGUUUGUUGUAUGAUUGCUGGCAAACUUUGAACGAUGAUUUACUUCAAUUGUAUGACAUUACAUUUAUACAAGAAAUACCCCAGAGUCUGAAUGAUGAUGAUUUACUGCCUGUUACCACUGCUUACCUUCUCGUGGUCGACGAUCUCAAUGUUUGGUGGUGUCAGACAAAGAGUUUUCCUCUCUGGAGAGCUCUCAGGACUGAUCCCCGGGGUAAAACGAUAAGCCUUUCUUGGUAGUUCGCCGUUCGGUUCAGGUCGAACCACCGCUGUAAAACGAUAAGUCUUUCUUUGUGGUUCGCCGUCCGGUCCAGGACUGACCGGCGAGGUGGGAAGAUUCGUUUAUCUAGGCUUCUUUCUUGCUGGUUCGUCGCAGGGUCCAGGAAGUGGUUUUCCGCCGGAUCCUAUUGGAUUCUCGACGUGCUCUGGAGUGGAAUCAGGUAGGAUGUGAGGUUUGUCUGUUAUGUUGAUGGUGGGAUCUUCGUCGCCAUCUUGCGUGAGAUCGAUUACUGUCUGGAAGCCGGGUUGGGCGAUAAAUUGUAUGAAAUCUAAAAAUAAAAUUUGAUUUCUUAUAAGCAUAAAAGAAAUCUAAAAUUUACAUUUCUCAUAAAAAUGUUGGAGAUGGAUCUUGUUUUACCAUCGGCUGUGCUGUCUGGAUCAAUCGCGCCCACUGUGAAAAAAAAAAAUUACAUUUAUAAAAAGACAAAAUUAAAAUACGUUCAGUUUAAUUUAUAAAAAGAAUAGUUCAUAUGUACUUAUGUGUAUUAAUACAGUCAAAGGCUUGCUGCUCAAUAUUUGAACCUGAGAUAAAAAAUAAAAAACCUGUUAUGAUUUAAAACACAUGGAGAGGGUUUUUAUUUGCUAGUUUAAUGGAGCACACACACACAGACAGACUGUGACAAAGAAAUCAUGAUGUCAUAACAUUAAACCGCAAGCAGAUGGCACAAUUUUCACUAUAACACGGUGUCAUAACAUUAAACCUCCGCAGAUGGCACAAUUUUCACUAUAACACUGUGUCAUACCAUUAAACUGCCGGAGAUGGCACAAUUUUCACUAUAACAGGAUCAUUUCACCACAGACUCACCGGGGGGAGCCAUUUCACCAUCAUAUGUCGUUUCACUGAGAGCAGUUAGCAACCGGGAAAAUGGUGCUGAGAUAGAACCGUGCAUUCCUAACCGGGAGCGCUUACACCCCGCAAUGUCGUGUUCAUAGAUGACAAACGGAUAACGCGGUGGUAAAACGUCGAUUUAACAGACACAGAAUUGUUUUUCUGAAAUCCUAUACAUAGCGAACUGAAUUGAAGCACGGAAAGCUAAGCACGUGUCGAAAGGAUGUCACGUCUUUUCAAAAUAAAAGUAUUUUCAACAGGAUGUCACCAUCUUUUCAAAAUAAAAGUUUUUUUUCAUACAAACAGCCUGGCGGUGAUUGGGACAUUAGAUGCAUCGAUAUUAAGUCAAAUAACAUACUUUAUGAAUAUAGUGUUAAAAUAUCUCUAUCAGCAGAUGAAAUAAAAUACAGAUGCAUGUUUUAUUACAGGAAUUAAAUGUAAUAUGGUUUAAAGAUGAACAUUGUAGAAUGUAAAAAUAGCAUAACAUACUUUGAUCAAUUAAUAUUUAAAUAUCACUACAAUCAGAUAAAAUAAGACAGCAAAAACUUGAAGAAAAUUACAGGAAUUAAAUGUAAUAUGGUUUAAAGGCAUCAUAUACUGUAAAAAUAGCAUAACACACUUUGAUCAAUUAAUAGUAUUUAAAUAUCACUACCAUCAGAUAACAUGAAAUGAUAAAAUACUCACUUUUAUCCAUUGUCUUGGAAAGCAAAUGUCUUGGAGAACCGUCCGAGAAAGUUUUUUGGUAUAAAGUGAUGCUUUGUAACACGCGAAAAUGGAUUUAUAAAGGGACCAUGUGAAAGAAAUCGGUGUUGAGUGACCGCUAAGUGUCAUCCUUGUUCUAUGAAUGAACUUGUUCAAUAGGUGGGAAGCUGAGCAUGGUUCACGCGUGUCAUAAUAAAUUUGUGGGCAUGAGAGAUGGUAGACGCUGAUCGUCGUAAUUCAUAGAUGCACCCGUCAGAAAACUGUAAAAAACAUGGUACUCCUGCAUGAGAUACGUUGGUUUUAAUUAACAAUGUCUUUAAAGGUAUUAUGAUUGGGUAGUAAAUUUGGACGAGAGUGAACUGUAGCGUGCAAACACAGACACUGGGGUCAGGAAAAAGGUGAUGUGAAAACAACUCCUUCAGAAAACAUUAUUACAACUUUAAAAUUUAGGGAUUAUAAUUUGAAAAUAAUUUUAACCAUAACAAAACAUUGGCCGUGUCUCAUUGUGAUCGCUGAUUCAGAGAGAGUCUGACAGACGGAGCUGCGAGCCUGUUUCUCACAAAGCUGAAGCUUCUGUCUAAAAUAAGGUAGGUGGAUUGGUUUCAGUAAGCUUUUUAUAAUUCUUUUAAAGAACAGAAUGUUUUUCAACCUUAGUUAAAUUGCUUUAGAUUAUGUAUAAUAUAUAAAGGAUAGAAUAUAAAGAACAGUGUGUUUUCAUAGGGUUUUAUAUAUAAAUGUUAAAUAACUGAAAUGUUUUUCAACCUUUAAUUGUUUUAGAUUAUAUAAAUUAUAGACUGUUUUAUAUAUAAAUGUGAAAUAACUGAAAUGUUUUUCAACCUUUAAUUGUUUUAGAUUAUGUAUAUUAUAUAAAUUAUAGAAUAUAAAGAACGGCAUGUUUUCAACUUUAGCAUGAAAAUUUAUUAUAUUAUAUAAAUUAUAUAAAUUAUAGAAUGUUUUAUAUAUAUAUAUAUAUAAAUGUGAAAUGACUGUCUGACAUCCACUCCCAUUACAUUCCUGAGCAGUAUAAAAAUGGGGUCGGUGUCAGACAGUUCUCUCUGUAUGCAGCCAACCGCACACACACACACACACACAAACAUACACACACAUAACCCAUAUAACUGGGACAAAGUUCAAACAACCGGCAAAUAGCUUCUGUCAAAACCACAUGAUCGAUGUGGGGAGGUGUGGGGAGGGUUAGUAUACCGUAAAACUACCCGUCAAAAACUAUGAUUUAGAACUAACUAGGUCAAUAGGGUAAAGGCUUCUGUCAAAACCACAUGAUCGAUGCGUGGGGAGGGUUCGUAUACCAUAAAACUACCCGUCAAAAACUAUGAUUUAAAACUAACUAGGUCAAUAGGGUAAAAGCUUCUGUCAAAACCAAAUGAUCGAUGCGUGGGAAGGGGUCAAUAGGUUAAUCGAUGAACUCAUUCGGAAAGUUCAACCCGUCCAUCAUAAGGUUACCGGAAGUUCAACCUGUCAAAAAGGUCAAAGGUCAAAGUCGUAAAUCAUCUUGACACAAAGUGUAUCAUAAUCACUACUUGUACUUUUUUAGCUGAAAAAUAAUGCUACAGUUGGAGGAAAACACAGCGUAUUUCAUUUCAUUCAUCAUCAAGUGUGCUCAUUCCUGUUGAUGUCAUUAAUCUGGCAACCUGUGUGUACGUCAAGUCUGAGGAGGAGGGGCCGUGUAAAAACAAACCUUUUCCAAUAUUUCGAAUUUGGACUGCAAUACCUAGUUCAAUCACUCUGUGUAAAUCCUACAUACAGCACCUUUUAGAAAAUGUGCAAUUAAUUAGUAAAUAUUUUUAAUUGAUUGACAGCACUGAUUAUUAAUCUGCUGUCUUUAUUGUUAUUUUUCAGCCAGUUCUCUAAGAAGAGACUUUUAUGCUUAAUAUUUGCUCAAUUAUUACAGUUUUCUUGAGAAAUGUAACAUAUUUUUUCUGUUUAAGGUGAAAUCGCAGCUAUUGUGAUUGGAUCUCUGUGUGGAUGUAUAGGCUUGGCUGUUAUCAUCUGCUUUAUUGUGAAAACCAUUCGCUUAACAUCCAGCUGGGAUGUCUUACCAAGUAUCCGACCUUCUCACCAGCCAAGGUCAACUUUUUUAAUGACCAUUCAUGACCUCUAACCACAAGCUUUAAACCCUUAACCUCAGUAACCCCUAAAAUCAAGUCAUCCAUCCAUCCAUCCAUUAAGUUAGGUAACAUUUUAUUUAGAAUAAUUUUGUAUGGGAGGAACAUUUUUAACGUACAAUUCAACCAAAGUCCCUUUAAGGGAAGUAAUUUCACUCUCACUCUCAAACCUAGGCAGUUGGUCUCAUUCAGUCUCACGGUACUUUGAUAGCACAUGUGAUCGUAAGGCAUCUACAGUAUCGAUCAAAGUCUAAGAAAAUUUCGAACCAUUUUUUUGCGGCAUCGCAUGAAGUCGAACAAACCUAUUGCCUUAAACGAUUAGCAAUUAGCUAUUUUACUUAGAAGGUGGGGCUUCCUUCAACAGAGUGGUCAUAUUGAUGGAGCGUUCACACCAUAUCAUACGCUGCUUUCCAAGGCAGCAUUUCAAGGCAUUAAGGCAUCAAGGCAUGUCCGAACACAAAUUCUGCUUCACUUCCUGUCUUCAGAGGUACCUUCUUCUGAUCGAGUUUUGAAGUCAGCUUAAAUACAUAGUGCAUUCCAUUCCUUGAUGGUUGGGAUAAAAAAAUAAAGAAAGUGUCUGAAAGUUACAUUUGGUGGUCUUGUGUGUAAAUGUAUGCUUCUGACCAAAUUUUUUGCACUUUUGUUGUUAUUUCUAUGAAGAAAUCAGUAUUAUAAUAAUAACAUAUUUGUUUAGUUAUCAUCAAAACUCAUUCUAUUUUGUUGUAGAUCAUUAAACUGUUACGCUGCCUCAAAAGCCUGUCUGAAAUGAGUUUCAUGAGGUGCCUUUAUGCAAAAACUUUGCCUGCAAAGUCACAUGCCUAGUAAGGCAGCGAGGCAGCAAGUCUUUUGGACACAGCCAUAAUUGCCAUUAUUCCGAGAUGAUAACAAGUGAUGUUAAACUCUGUGCUGUUCACGUACUCAGACAGGAGAUUAUCUGUUUCUAUAGCAACGGUCAACAAAAUGAACCCACCUGAAAGAAUGCUACAGUAUGUUACUGGCAGCUGUCAAGCACAUAAUCACAACAUUAGAUUUGCAGAACAAAGAAUGCAUGUCAUGUAAAAAUAAUUACUUGUUUGUUAUUAUUAAUGACAGCAAUAAAUGUGAUAUUGUAAACUUAAACAAACAACAACAAAAAAUAACAGUAUGAAAACUUACAAAAUAAGUUUUUAUAUUAUUGUACAUAGUAUCUAUAUGUAUCUUUGUUCCUCUUUUUAGAGCAGUAUUAGCUUUUCUUGAAAGUGCUGCCCUUUUUCUCUGGUUCUGCAUGAGAUGCAGUGGUCACAUGGUACAAGCCGUAGCUCUCAGAAAACUCCCAGCUCUAACCAAAGACUAUAUAUAGAAUACACAAGACGUAUCACUCCUUUUGUUUUGUAUUUUAUUGUUUUUUUUUGUUUGUUUUUGUUUUCAUUAUUGCCAAGGUACCAAAUAUAAAAGUACAGAGAAUAUCAACAUUGUGUACAAAGAGGUAACAUUACAUGCAAAGCACCAUUUAUAGAUGUAUGCAAUAAAAAAUAAAUAAUACAAAACGAAAGCUAAACACAAGAUCAAAUAAAUGAACUGUUUUAAAAGUCUUAAGAUUCUUAGAAGAUGAAAUAGUCUGAAUAUACUUUUAAACCUUUUGAUGAUUGAAUUUACUGCAGUGAAUAUGAAAUUUAGCAAGAAAUAAUAAUAGGUUAAUAAUAAAAUAUUAAUAAAUUUUGUCUUCUUGCAUAUUAAAGAAUCCAAACAGUACAUCCUUAAAAGGAGAGAGAAACCCUGAAGCAUAAUGUGAUUGAAAGCAUUAGAGAAUUCAAUACAAAAUAGCUGUGUGUAAGGAUGAUCCCAAAAGAUAUGCAUAUUCUCCAACUCUGAUUCGGCUGAGGAUUGCAGCGGAUUCCUACUCCAAUGCUCGCUGGUCCUGGAGAUUCAACCACACUUAUACCCUGCCGAAAUAGCUAAGGUGGCCUUCCUGAUAUCUCAAUUGCAAGGUAAAGCACUUCAGUGGGCCGAUUCAAUUUGGACACAGAAUAACCCAGUUAUCCAGUCUUAUUCCAGCUUCAUCGACCAUUUCAGAGAAACCUAGAAUCUGUGUCUCCACUGUGCCUCUACCACCGGAGUGGGAGCGGUCCUGUCACAGCAGCAGGGGAAUCCUAGUCACCUCCACCCAUGCGCCUUCUUCUCUUGUGAGCUGCUGGCCAUCAAGUUGGCCAUGGAGGAAUGGAGGCAUUGGCUGGAGGGAGCCAAACACCCUUUUCUAGUCCUCACAGACUACGAGAACCUCAAAUAUCUAUGGGUAGCCAAGAGGCUGAAUCCGAGACAGGCCCGCUGGGCGCUAUUCUUCACCCACUUCCACUUUACCAUCUCGUAUCGCCCAGGGGCCAAGAACGUGAAGGCUGACGCCCCCUGGUCUGCAGAGACCUUUCUUCCUCCAAUCCUGCUACCAACACCCCGCCGGGUUGCCCACCGGACACCAAUACAUCCCCAGGACGCGGCACACUCCACUCAUUCACUCCGCUCACACAUCUCUUGCCAAUGUCACCCGGGGGUCAAUGAAACCCCCUCGUUGCUAAGGGAAUGCUUCUGGUGGCCUAACAUGGCUUCUGAUGUCAUAAGGUACGUGAACGGAUGUACAUACUGCGCCAUCUUCAAAAGUCCAUGCCAUCUACCAUCAGGCAAGCUCCACCCUCUGCCCAUCCCUAAUCACCCGUGGUCAAACCUAGGGGUGGACUUUAUCACUGACCUUCCUCCUUCCAACAAUAAUACCUGCAUCCUAGUCAUUGUAUGGCCAUUGUAGGGUCAUUGGGUGGGCCAAGUAUGCACAAAACUCCAUGCGACAACCUACAGCCGACCUUUGCCGAUCCGAGACCCCUGAAUACCAACCUGGUCAGAAGGUCUGGUUGUCCACCUGAGACAUCCGCCUGUGCCUACCCUGCUGCAAGCUGAGUCCCAGAUUCAUUGGCCCAUUCACCAUCCUAGAGCAGAUCAAUCCUUUCAAACUCCAACUACCACCAGAGUGCUGGAUUUACCCCACUUUCUUUGUGUCCCUCCUCAAGCCUUACCAUCCCUCUGUUUCUCCCUCCACAGAACCUGGCGUAGCCGAAGCCCCCCCUCCACUCCACCUUGAAGACGGUGCUGCCCAUGUAGUUCGAGACAUCCUGGACUCCCGGCGGCAUGGUGGACAACUUGAGUACCUAGUGGAUUGGUAAGGAUAUGUUCCAGAGGAACACUCAUGGGUCCCACGCAAUGACAUCCUGGAUCCAGACCUACUAGACACCUUCCACUCCAGUCAUCCCAACAGACUGGCUCCUUGAGGAAGAGGACAUCCACCAUGUCGUCGGGGUCCUUGGCCCUCAGGAGUGGGCCGUGGGGAGGGGGGUACUGUUACAGACAUGCCAGGUUCCACCUCCUUCCAAUCACAGUGCACUCCCUCACCUGAAUACUAAUCACUCCCACCUGAUCUUCAUCCACCUUCAAUCACUGCAGCACUACAAAAACCACACACACGCACUCAGUCAGCGUCCGGUCUCAUUCGCAACAAGGUCUUGCCUGUAUGCUAACUCUAAAGGACUAACCCUUUCUCUACUUACCUCUCUCCAGCAAUCUCCAGAAGCCUCCAGUCUUCAUUGUGCAUGUGUGUGGUACACCCUCUUCCUCCAGCGUCAAAACCGUUCAUCAAUGGAUCCAUUCUUCACGGCCUCCAGCACCAUCACUUUAUCCAGCACUACCCGCUCCUCUGCUUAUGCCUCAAUAA